AUACACGCUAGCUACAGGCUUAACACAUGCAAGUCGAGGGGAAACGACAUCGAAAGCUUGCUUUUGAUGGGCGUCGACCGGCGCACGGGUGAGUAACGCGUAUCCAACCUGCCCAUCACUUGGGAAUAACCUUGCGAAAGUAAGACUAAUACCCAAUGAUAUCCCACGAAGGCAUCGGAAUGGGAUUAAAGAUUUAUCGGUGAUGGAUGGGGAUGCGUCUGAUUAGCUUGUUGGCGGGGUAACGGCCCACCAAGGCAACGAUCAGUAGGGGUUCUGAGAGGAAGGUCCCCCACAUUGGAACUGAGACACGGUCCAAACUCCUACGGGAGGCAGCAGUGAGGAAUAUUGGUCAAUGGGCGAGAGCCUGAACCAGCCAAGUAGCGUGCAGGAAGACGGCCCUAUGGGUUGUAAACUGCUUUUAUAAGGGAAUAAAGUGGGUCACGUGUGACUUUUUGCAUGUACCUUAUGAAUAAGGACCGGCUAAUUCCGUG
RNAcentral lists this ribosomal RNA (491 nucleotides) under uncultured bacterium. RNAcentral's name for it is "partial 16S ribosomal RNA". It matches the Rfam family "Bacterial small subunit ribosomal RNA", at positions 33 to 507 of the family's 1533-position model. The record is from RNAcentral.